AGCGAACGCUGGCGGCAUGCCUAACACAUGCAAGUCGAACGAGACCUUCGGGUCUAGUGGCGCACGGGUGCGUAACGCGUGGGAACCUGCCCUUAGGUUCGGAAUAACUCCCCGAAAGGGGUGCUAAUACCGGAUAAUGUCUUCGGACCAAAGAUUUAUCGCCUUUGGAUGGGCCCGCGUUGGAUUAGCUAGUUGGUAGGGUAAAAGCCUACCAAGGCGACGAUCCAUAGCUGGUCUGAGGAUGAUCAGCCACACUGGGACUGAGACACGGCCCAGACUCCUACGGGAGGCAGCAGUGGGGAAUAUUGGACAAUGGGCGAAAGCCUGAUCCAGCAAUGCCGCGUGAGUGAUGAAGGCCUUAGGGUUGUAAAGCUCUUUUACCCGGGAUGAUAAUGACAGUACCGGGAGAAUAAGCUCCGGCUAACUCCGUG
RNAcentral lists this ribosomal RNA (431 nucleotides) under uncultured bacterium. Its description in RNAcentral is "partial 16S ribosomal RNA". It matches the Rfam family "Bacterial small subunit ribosomal RNA", at positions 29 to 507 of the family's 1533-position model. The record is from RNAcentral.